CAAUAGCGUAUAUUUAAGUUGCUGCAGUUAAAAAGCUCGUAGUUGGAUUUCGGGUGGGAAUGGCCGGUCCGCCGUGUCGGUGUGCACUUGCUACGCCCACCUUGCUGCCGGGGACGUGCUCUUGAGUUCACGCUCGGGACACGGAGUCGGCGAGGUUACUUUGAGUAAAUUAGAGUGUUCAAAGCAGGCCUACGCUCUGAAUACAUUAGCAUGGAAUAACACGAUAGGACUCUGGCCUAUCUUGUUGGUCUGUAGGACCGGAGUAAUGAUUAAGAGGGACAGUCGGGGGCAUUCGUAUUUCAUUGUCAGAGGUGAAAUUCUUGGAUUUAUGAAAGACGAACUACUGCGAAAGCAUUUGCCAAGGAUGUUUUCAUUAA
RNAcentral lists this ribosomal RNA (377 nucleotides) under uncultured eukaryote. RNAcentral's name for it is "partial 18S ribosomal RNA". It matches the Rfam family "Eukaryotic small subunit ribosomal RNA", at positions 592 to 976 of the family's 1831-position model. The record is from RNAcentral.